This 253-nucleotide ribosomal RNA is filed under the name uncultured bacterium. Its description in RNAcentral is "partial 16S ribosomal RNA". It matches the Rfam family "Bacterial small subunit ribosomal RNA", at positions 524 to 776 of the family's 1533-position model. The record is from RNAcentral.
UACAGAGGGUGCGAGCGUUGUCCGGAAUUAUUGGGCGUAAAGGGCUCGUAGGCGGUUUGUUGCGUCGGGAGUGAAAACUUACAGCUUAACUGUGAGCGUGCUUCCGAUACGGGCAGACUUGAGGUAUUCAGGGGAGAACGGAAUUCCUGGUGUAGCGGUGAAAUGCGCAGAUAUCAGGAGGAACACCGGUGGCGAAGGCGGUUCUCUGGGAAUAUCCUGACGCUGAGGAGCGAAAGUGUGGGGAGCGAACAGG